ACGUAGGUGGCAAGCGUUGUCCGGAUUUAUUGGGCGUAAAGCGAGCGCAGGCGGUUUCUUAAGUCUGAUGUGAAAGCCUUCGGCUCAACCGAAGAAGUGCAUCGGAAACUGGGAAACUUGAGUGCAGAAGAGGACAGUGGAACUCCAUGUGGGGCGGUGUAUUGCGUGGAGAUAGGGAAGAACACCAAAAGCAGAGGCAGCUAGCUGGUAUGGAUCCGCGGCUGAGCCUCGUAAUCUUGGAUUGCGGAAAA
RNAcentral lists this ribosomal RNA (251 nucleotides) under uncultured prokaryote. RNAcentral's name for it is "partial 16S rRNA". It matches the Rfam family "Bacterial small subunit ribosomal RNA", at positions 525 to 775 of the family's 1533-position model. The record is from RNAcentral.